GAUGAACGCUGGCGGCGUGCCUAAUACAUGCAAGUCGAGCGAACAGACGAGGAGCUUGCUCCUCUGACGUUAGCGGCGGACGGGUGAGUAACACGUGGAUAACCUACCUAUAAGACUGGGAUAACUUCGGGAAACCGGAGCUAAUACCGGAUAAUAUAUUGAACCGCAUGGUUCAAUAGUGAAAGACGGUUUUGCUGUCACUUAUAGAUGGAUCCGCGCCGCAUUAGCUAGUUGGUAAGGUAACGGCUUACCAAGGCGACGAUGCGUAGCCGACCUGAGAGGGUGAUCGGCCACACUGGAACUGAGACACGGUCCAGACUCAUACGGGAGGCAGCAGUAGGGAAUCUUCCGCAAUGGGCGGAAGCUUGACGGAGCAACGCCGCGUGAGUGAUGAAGGUCUUCGGAUCGUAAAACUCUGUUAUUAGGGAACAACAAAUGUGUAAGUAACUAUGCACGUCUUGACGGUACCUAAUCAGAAAGCCACGGCUAACUCCGUG
RNAcentral lists this ribosomal RNA (497 nucleotides) under uncultured bacterium. RNAcentral describes it as "partial 16S ribosomal RNA". It matches the Rfam family "Bacterial small subunit ribosomal RNA", at positions 28 to 507 of the family's 1533-position model. The record is from RNAcentral.